GUGCUCACUUCGGCAGCACAUAUACUAAAAUUGGAACGAUACAGAGAAAAUUAGCACAGCCCCAGCGCAAGGA
RNAcentral lists this small nuclear RNA (73 nucleotides) under Erinaceus europaeus (western European hedgehog). Lineage: Eukaryota; Metazoa; Chordata; Mammalia; Eulipotyphla; Erinaceidae. The record is from RNAcentral.